RNAcentral lists this ribosomal RNA (253 nucleotides) under uncultured bacterium. Its description in RNAcentral is "partial 16S ribosomal RNA". It matches the Rfam family "Bacterial small subunit ribosomal RNA", at positions 524 to 776 of the family's 1533-position model. The record is from RNAcentral.
UACAGAGGGGGCAAGCGUUAUUCGGAAUUAUUGGGCGUAAAGGGCGCGUAGGCGGCCUGGCAAGUGGAUGGUGAAAUCCCUCGGCUUAACCGAGGAACUGCCAUCCAGACUGCUUGGCUUGAGACCGGGAGAGGUGAGUGGAAUUCCCAGUGUAGCGGUGAAAUGCGUAGAUAUUGGGAGGAACACCAGUGGCGAAGGCGGCUCACUGGACCGGUACUGACGCUGAUGCGCGAAAGCGUGGGGAGCAAACGGG